This 506-nucleotide ribosomal RNA is filed under the name uncultured bacterium. RNAcentral describes it as "partial 16S ribosomal RNA". It matches the Rfam family "Bacterial small subunit ribosomal RNA", at positions 29 to 523 of the family's 1533-position model. The record is from RNAcentral.
AGUGAACGCUGGCGGUAGGCCUAACACAUGCAAGUCGAACGGCAGCACAGGAGAGCUUGCUCUCUGGGUGGCGAGUGGCGGACGGGUGAGGAAUACAUCGGAAUCUACUCUGUCGUGGGGGAUAACGUAGGGAAACUUACGCUAAUACCGCAUACGACCUACGGGUGAAAGCAGGGGACCUUCGGGCCUUGCGCGAUUGAAUGAGCCGAUGUCGGAUUAGCUAGUUGGCGGGGUAAAGGCCCACCAAGGCGACGAUCCGUAGCUGGUCUGAGAGGAUGAUCAGCCACACUGGAACUGAGAAACGGUCCAGACUCCUACGGGAGGCAGCAGUGGGGAAUAUUGGACAAUGGGCGCAAGCCUGAUCCAGCCAUACCGCGUGGGUGAAGAAGGCCUUCGGGUUGUAAAGCCCUUUCGUUGGGAAAGAAAUCCAGCUGGCUAAUACCCGGUUGGGAUGACGGUACCCAAGGAAUAAGCACCGGCUAACUUCGUGCCAGCAGCCGCCGCCG